AAGUCGUAACAAGGUUUCCGUAGGUGAACCUUCGGAAGGAUCAUUAACAAGUGAAUGCUACUGCUCUACUGCGGUAGAGUGUAGUCAUUAAUAAUGAUAAUAAUCAUAAUUUGUUGAACGAUAGUCGCUCGUUUUAGCGUAAAGCUAAAAACUUAUUUAUGUUAACGAGUAUGCUAGUUGGUUAAUGAUGUGCGUGUGCGCUUAUUUGCGUGCGUGUACAUAGAGCGAGUGAACUACUGACUGCUGCUCGGGGUACGGCCCGUAGUGUAAUGCUACGGUGAGUCGUACCUGUAUCAUUUUUAAAUUUGAGUAAUAAAAUUCGCGUACGCGUGCUUAAGCCGUACGUGUAGACUUGUAAAAGAGAGAAUAAUAAUAAAAUGCAUAGCUGCAUCACUCUGCUCACG
RNAcentral lists this unclassified non-coding RNA (404 nucleotides) under fungal sp. Its description in RNAcentral is "partial internal transcribed spacer region". The stretch from base 1 to 46 matches the Rfam family "Eukaryotic small subunit ribosomal RNA", at positions 1786 to 1831 of the family's 1831-position model. The record is from RNAcentral. Lineage: Eukaryota; Fungi.